This 1372-nucleotide ribosomal RNA is filed under the name uncultured bacterium. Its description in RNAcentral is "bacterial SSU rRNA". It matches the Rfam family "Bacterial small subunit ribosomal RNA", at positions 28 to 1381 of the family's 1533-position model. The record is from RNAcentral.
GAUGAACGUUGGCGGCGUGCCUAAUACAUGCAAGUCGAGCGAACAGAUAAGGAGCUUGCUCCUUUGACGUUAGCGGCGGACGGGUGAGUAACACGUGGGUAACCUACCUAUAAGACUGGGAUAACUUCGGGAAACCGGAGCUAAUACCGGAUAACAUUUGGAACCGCAUGGUUCUAAAGUGAAAGAUGGUUUUGCUAUCACUUAUAGAUGGACCCGCGCCGUAUUAGCUAGUUGGUAAGGUAACGGCUUACCAAGGCGACGAUACGUAGCCGACCUGAGAGGGUGAUCGGCCACACUGGAACUGAGACACGGUCCAGACUCCUACGGGAGGCAGCAGUAGGGAAUCUUCCGCAAUGGGCGAAAGCCUGACGGAGCAACGCCGCGUGAGUGAUGAAGGGUUUCGGCUCGUAAAACUCUGUUAUUAGGGAAGAACAAACGUGUAAGUAACUAUGCACGUCUUGACGGUACCUAAUCAGAAAGCCACGGCUAACUACGUGCCAGCAGCCGCGGUAAUACGUAGGUGGCAAGCGUUAUCCGGAAUUAUUGGGCGUAAAGCGCGCGUAGGCGGUUUCUUAAGUCUGAUGUGAAAGCCCACGGCUCAACCGUGGAGGGUCAUUGGAAACUGGGAAACUUGAGUGCAGAAGAGGAAAGUGGAAUUCCAUGUGUAGCGGUGAAAUGCGCAGAGAUAUGGAGGAACACCAGUGGCGAAGGCGACUUUCUGGUCUGUAACUGACGCUGAUGUGCGAAAGCGUGGGGAUCAAACAGGAUUAGAUACCCUGGUAGUCCACGCCGUAAACGAUGAGUGCUAAGUGUUAGGGGGUUUCCGCCCCUUAGUGCUGCAGCUAACGCAUUAAGCACUCCGCCUGGGGAGUACGACCGCAAGGUUGAAACUCAAAGGAAUUGACGGGGACCCGCACAAGCGGUGGAGCAUGUGGUUUAAUUCGAAGCAACGCGAAGAACCUUACCAAAUCUUGACAUCCUUUGAAAACUCUAGAGAUAGAGCCUUCCCCUUCGGGGGACAAAGUGACAGGUGGUGCAUGGUUGUCGUCAGCUCGUGUCGUGAGAUGUUGGGUUAAGUCCCGCAACGAGCGCAACCCUUAAGCUUAGUUGCCAUCAUUAAGUUGGGCACUCUAGGUUGACUGCCGGUGACAAACCGGAGGAAGGUGGGGAUGACGUCAAAUCAUCAUGCCCCUUAUGAUUUGGGCUACACACGUGCUACAAUGGACAAUACAAAGGGCAGCUAAACCGCGAGGUCAUGCAAAUCCCAUAAAGUUGUUCUCAGUUCGGAUUGUAGUCUGCAACUCGACUACAUGAAGCUGGAAUCGCUAGUAAUCGUAGAUCAGCAUGCUACGGUGAAUACGUUCCCGGGUCU